GGCCCACAGCUCAGUGGGAGAGCUUCUGCCUUGCAAGCAGAAGAUUCCCACGUUCAAUCUCUGGCAUCUCCAGGUGGGGCU
Non-coding RNA from Podarcis lilfordi (Lilford's wall lizard), 81 nucleotides. The record is from the annotation of a GenBank genome assembly. Lineage: Eukaryota; Metazoa; Chordata; Lepidosauria; Squamata; Lacertidae.